ACGGUGAGUAACACGUAUCCAACCUGCCGUCUACUCUUGGACAGCCUUCUGAAAGGAAGAUAAUACAAGAUGGCAUCAUGAGUUCACAUGUUCACAUGAUUAAAGGUAUUCCGGUAGACGAUGGGGAUGCGUUCCAUUAGAUAGUAGGCGGGGUAACGGCCCACCUAGUCUUCGAUGGAUAGGGGUUCUGAGAGGAAGGUCCCCCACAUUGGAACUGAGACACGGUCCAA
This 230-nucleotide ribosomal RNA is filed under the name uncultured bacterium. RNAcentral's name for it is "partial 16S ribosomal RNA". It matches the Rfam family "Bacterial small subunit ribosomal RNA", at positions 105 to 334 of the family's 1533-position model. The record is from RNAcentral.